CAAAAAUACCAUAUGAAACAUUUUGGAAUUGCAACCAUUUUCAAACAAAGUACUCUUUUUUUCACGGGCUCAAAUGUAAUUGGACAGAUAAACACAAUCAUAAAUAAAAUGUUAAUUUUUAAUACUUUGUCGAGAGUCUCUUGCAGGCUGCUUAAAGUUUGGAAUGCAUGGACAUCACCAAAUGCUGUGUUUCCUCCUUUGUGAUGCUUUGCCAGGC
This is a non-coding RNA of Pelobates cultripes (western spadefoot toad), 217 nucleotides long. Lineage: Eukaryota; Metazoa; Chordata; Amphibia; Anura; Pelobatidae. The record is from the annotation of a GenBank genome assembly.